Molecule: ribosomal RNA, 845 nt
Filed under: uncultured Gammaproteobacteria bacterium
Lineage: Bacteria; Pseudomonadati; Pseudomonadota; Gammaproteobacteria
Description: bacterial SSU rRNA
Rfam family: Bacterial small subunit ribosomal RNA
Source: RNAcentral
ACGCUGGCGGUAGGCUUAACACAUGCAAGUCGAGCGAGAAAGUAUCUUCGGAUAUGAGUAGAGCGGCGGACGGGUGAGUAACGCGUAGGAAUCUACCUAGUAGAAGGGGAUAGCCCGGGGAAACUCGGAUUAAUACCGUAUACCUCCUAAGGGAGAAAGAGGGCCUCUCUUGAUGCUCUCGCUAUUAGAUGAGCCUGCGUAAGAUUAGCUUGUUGGUAAGGUAAUGGCUUACCAAGGCUACGAUCUUUAGCUGGUCUGAGAGGACGAUCAGCCACAUUGGGACUGAGACACGGCCCAGACUCCUACGGGAGGCAGCAGUGGGGAAUAUUGGACAAUGGGCGCAAGCCUGAUCCAGCCAUACCGCGUGUGUGAAGAAGGCCUUCGGGUUGUAAAGCACUUUAAGCAGGGAGAAAAAGUUAUAAGUUAAUACCUUGUAACCGUGAUGUUACCUGCAGAAUAAGCACCGGCUAAUUCCGUGCCAGCAGCCGCGGUAAUACGGAAGGUGCAAGCGUUAAUCGGAAUUACUGGGCGUAAAGCGCGCGUAGGUGGUUUGUUAAGUUGGAUGUGAAAGCCCUGGGCUCAACCUAGGAACUGCAUCCAAAACUAACUCACUAGAGUACGAUAGAGGGAGGUAGAAUUCAUAGUGUAGCGGUGGAAUGCGUAGAUAUUAUGAAGAAUACCAGUGGCGAAGGCGGCCUCCUGGAUCUGUACUGACACUGAGGUGCGAAAGCGUGGGUAGCGAACAGGAUUAGAUACCCUGGUAGUCCACGCCGUAAACGAUGACAACUAGCUGUUGGGAGACAAUGUCUUUCAGUGGCGCAGCUAACGUUUUAAGUUGUCCGCCU